ACAAGGAGGAGGAGAAAGAGAAGAAGGAAGAGUAAGAUACGAGCUUGACUAUAAGAUUAAAGCUUGUGAAAGAAACAAGUUAUUUUGGUUCUCUCUCAAUCAUUAUUUAGUAUCGCGUGUGCAAACUUGUUUGAGUUAUAAUUAUUUUCUUUAUUCCAUCAUCUACGUUUCUUUUUCUGGUUUUCAUAAAACAAGUCAAUAAAAAAAAAGUAACAAUGUACUCAAAAAAAAUUUGUCAAGUUUCAUCGUUAAUUUCAUUCCGAUUGAAAUUUAUAAUCUCUGUGUUAUUAAUUGUAAAUGUAAAAGCUUACACGAUACCAGAACCAUUAUUCGAAGUACUUGGAUCAAAAGGAUUACGUAUUUCUAUACAAGAUACACCAGGCUUGCAAUAUUUUACGUUUCAUGGAAAUUUAAAUAAACCAAUACGUUCGAGAGAUCCUGGCGAAUUAUUUGGUGAUGUAUUUCGAGCUAAAAAUGGACGAUGGACCUUAGAAAAGGGGAACGUUAUCUUACAAGAAGGAGAUAUUAUUAAUUAUUGGAUAUAUGUACAAGUUAAUAAUACAAAUUCUAUUAAAGAAAAUCAAAGAUAUGUGGUUCGCAGUAAAUCGAAUUUAGAAAAAUCUACAACUCCAGCGUCAGUCAUCGUCAGCUCAAAUACCGAAAAAGGCCAAUUGAUAUUCAGCGAAGAUUUUAAUAAUUUAAAUGAAUCACUUUGGUCACGCGAUAUAAAAAUGCCAUUAGGACCUGAUUACGAAUUUUGCAUUUAUCACAAUGACAAUCAUCCGAAGCUCGUUGAAAUCGAUGAUGGUAUUCUUCGUAUUAAACCAAUUAUAUUAGAAGAUUCGUACGGAGAAAAUAUAACUUCGUAUGGAACAUUACAACUUGCUGAUUGCACCAGCAAUAUCCCCCAGGAAUGUUCUCGAAAUGCUAUAUCUUACAACAUUUUGCCACCUGUUAUAUCAGCUAGAUUUAAUACAAAAAAUCGAUUUGCAUUCAAGUAUGGUAAAAUUGAAAUCCGUGCUAAAUUUCCUGAAGGUGAUUGGCUAUAUCCAGAAUUAUGGUUGGAACCACUUUACUCUCUCUAUGGCCCUAAUUAUGCUAGCGGUCGUGUUGUUCUUGGUUUUGCUCGUGGAAAUGAUAAUCUUGUCGAUGCCGAAGAUUUAGAGAAAGUUUACGACAGUAGAAAAUUGGAAUUUGGAUUGAAAUCAGGUUCCCCAACGAUCUAUGAAGAAAAUGUUCACAAAAUAGUGAAUCGUGAUUCUGAAUGGAACAAAGAUUUUCACGUAUAUACAACUAUAUGGGAUGCUAAUGGAUUUAAAUUUUUAGCAGAUGGUGAAGAAAUUGGUCGUUUACUUCCUACGGUAAACGGAUGGUUACAUAAUGAUAAUACUAAUAUUCGUGGUAUGACAAAAAUCGCUCCAUUUGAUCAAGAGUUCUAUAUCAGUAUAGGUGUAGGCGUCGGUGGUCUAAGAGUUUUCCCAGACAAAACGAUUAGUUCCGGUUAUAAAAAACCUUGGAAAAAUGUAGGCGCUAAGCCGAUGCUAGAGUUUUGGCACGCUAGAAAUCAAUGGUUACCAAGCUGGAGACGAGAUAACAGUAACAAAAGGGCUUUAGAAAUAGACUAUGUGAAAGUUUGGUCGUUGUAAUGAAAAGUAAACAAUAUAAUUGUUUAUUUAUAAGUACUUUAAAAACAUCAAUUUUUGAAUUUUCUAAGUGCAUAAGACUAUAAUGAAAAUACUAUAGCUGUGUUUAAAUAUUUAUAAAAUGAAUACAUAUUGCGCAGAUGUAUUGCUAGUACGGAAUUAAUUAAAAUGCACGUACCUGAAAGAAAUACAAUACGAUCGAUUUCAUCUGAUAUAGGAAAACAUGAUAUUAAUGAAACUUCCACAAUACAACGAAAGGAUAAACGGAUUAAAUCACACGAUGACGAUCGGCAACACUUUAUAUCUACAAAUUUCAAAGAUACACCUCUUAAAACUGUAAAUAUUCAGGCAGUAGAAAAAAAUAAACCUCUAAUAUUUCAAAAGAAAUAUCAGCUACCUGAACUUCAGCAUAAUGUACCUAACAAAGCACCUGAAAUAUCAAACAAUGUUAUUACCAUUAAAUCAUCGCUGGAAAAGGACAUUUUUUUUUCUGUCAACAAAAUGUAGCAUUAAUACAAUCGCUAAAAAUAAUUAGUUACACACAACACAACAUGGUGAUUAUGCUUAAAAAAAGUCAGUAUAAAAACAUAAUAUUUUAUAUACAUUUUGUAGACAUAACUCUAUGAAAAAAAUAGUUUAUGAUUUAUAAAUAAAUUAUUUAAGGCCAAUUUCAUUUAAUUUACUGUAUGUACUAUGGUAACAGAUUUUUAAUAAUUAUGUAAAAUUAAACAGUAUUCGGUGAUGUCUGUAUAGAUUCUGGUAAUUUCUGUAAUUCAACCUAUAAAAGAAUUUUCAUUAAGAAAAAAAAAGAAAUAAUAAAAUACCAAGAAUAAAAUAGAUAUCUAAACGAA
Molecule: RNA transcript, 2494 nt
Organism: Vespa crabro (European hornet)
Lineage: Eukaryota; Metazoa; Arthropoda; Insecta; Hymenoptera; Vespidae
Gene name: beta-1,3-glucan-binding protein-like
Exons: 9
Source: RefSeq, a predicted model, not a curated record